CCUACGGGAGGCAGCAGUGAGGAAUAUUGGUCAAUGGGCGAGAGCCUGAACCAGCCAAGUCGCGUGAGGGAGUACUGCCCUAUGGGUUGUAAACCUCUUUUGUCGGGAAGCAAAAGCCGGACGUGUCCGGCUGUGAGAGUACCCGAAGAAAAAGCAUCGGCUAACUCCGUGCCAGCAGCCGCGGUAAUACGGAGGAUGCGAGCGUUAUCCGGAUUUAUUGGGGUUAAAGGGUGCGCAGGCGGAUUUUUAAGUCAGCGGUCAAAUCGUGGGGCUCAACCCCAUCCAGCCGUUGAAACUGGGGAUCUAGAGUGUGCGAGAGGUAUGCGGAAUGCGUGGUGUAGCGGUGAAAUGCAUAGAUAUCACGCGGAACCCCGAUUGCGAAGGCAGCAUACCGGUGCACAACUGACGCUCAGGCACGAAAGCGUGGGUAUCGAACAGGAUUAGAUACCCCGGUAGUC
RNAcentral lists this ribosomal RNA (458 nucleotides) under uncultured bacterium. RNAcentral describes it as "partial 16S ribosomal RNA". It matches the Rfam family "Bacterial small subunit ribosomal RNA", at positions 338 to 795 of the family's 1533-position model. The record is from RNAcentral.